RNAcentral lists this long non-coding RNA (1063 nucleotides) under Fragaria vesca (wild strawberry). RNAcentral describes it as "long non-coding RNA (FVES_LNC005002)". The record is from RNAcentral. Lineage: Eukaryota; Viridiplantae; Streptophyta; Magnoliopsida; Rosales; Rosaceae.
UCACGAAAACGCUCAUAUCUCCCUUUAUAUUACGUAGUUUGGUCAAAACCUUCUACACGAAAAACUUUCACGUAGAUGAGACGCAACCGCCUAUAUAAAAAUUUUGAGACAUUUACCUUCCGACGAUAGGGCUCCCCAUAGGGAAUAAUAACGGUAAAUAGGGUUGACCGCUACUAUCGGCACCGAGACUUUACCCGAUUUACGUGAUUUUUGAACCAUAGCCGUAUUUCACCAUUCUGAACACAUCUUAUUUCACGAGAUUUUUGAUAAUUUUGCUUCUUAUAUAGAGUUGGUUCACAAAGUUGUAUAACCUACUAAACAAGUUAUACAACAUUAGUAGACACGUUGUGAUUUCGAUGACUAAAAUUCACAAACCAAAAUUCGACCGUCAGAUAUGAUCAUUAUGACGAAAGAUGUCUAUGGUAAAAAAUUCAAGUGGAUCCGACAAAGUUAAGGACUCGAUCGAAACGGUCAACCCUAAUCCAUCGUCACUUAUCACACGAAAACGCUCAUAUCUCUCUCUAUAUUACGUGGUUUGGUCAAACUUUCUACACAAAAAACUCUCACGUAGAUGAGACGCAACUGCCCAUAUAAAAAUUUUGAGACAUUUAUCUUCCGACGAUAGGGCUCCCCACUCCCCAUAGGGAAUAAUAAUGGUAAAUAGUAGACACGUUGCGAUUCCAAUGACUAAAAUUUACAAACUAAAAUUUGACCGUCAGAUAUGAUCAUUAUGACGAAAGAUGUCUAUGGUAAAAAAUUCAACUGGAUUCGACAACAUUAAGGGCUCGAUCGAAACGGUCAACUCUAAUUGGAAAUAAGAAAACUGCAUUUUGAAGCCCUAAACGGACUCGGAUGGCCAAAAAAGGCCCAUACGUCAUAGCAAUAGCGAUGUGUUUGACUCAUAGGGCUGUUACGCUUCCGGAAAGGUAUCACAAUAGUCAAUCGGACACCAAAAACCAAAUCUGCAGCAUAGUGAAUAAUAAGGGUAAAUUGCAUUGACCGCAAUUAUCGGCACUGAGACUUUACCGGAAUACCAUGAUUUUUCAACCAUAGAUGUAUUUCA